AUAACUGUAGUAUAAAUUAAUGCCUUUGAUUUCCAAUCAAAUGAUCUUCAUCUACCUGAAGUAGUUAUA
This 69-nucleotide transfer RNA is filed under the name Brachionus plicatilis. It matches the Rfam family "tRNA". From Rfam's summary of the family: Transfer RNA (tRNA) molecules are approximately 80 nucleotides in length. Lineage: Eukaryota; Metazoa; Rotifera; Eurotatoria; Ploima; Brachionidae. The record is from Rfam by way of RNAcentral.